This 688-nucleotide ribosomal RNA is filed under the name uncultured bacterium. RNAcentral's name for it is "bacterial SSU rRNA". It matches the Rfam family "Bacterial small subunit ribosomal RNA", at positions 32 to 715 of the family's 1533-position model. The record is from RNAcentral.
AACGCUAGCUACAGGCUUAACACAUGCAAGUCGAGGGGCAGCAUUAGGUAGCAAUACUGAGAUGGCGACCGGCGCACGGGUGCGUAACGCGUAUCCAACCUUCCCGUUACUCUUGGAUAGCCUUCCGAAAGGGAGAUUAAUACAAGAUGGUGUUGAAAUUCCGCAUGUUAUUUCAACUAAAGAUUUAUCGGUAACGGAUGGGGAUGCGUGACAUUAGAUAGAUGGCGGGGUAACGGCCCACCAUGUCCACGAUGUCUAGGGGUUCUGAGAGGAAGGUCCCCCACACUGGAACUGAGACACGGUCCAGACUCCUACGGGAGGCAGCAGUGAGGAAUAUUGGUCAAUGGCCGAAAGGCUGAACCAGCCAAGUAGCGUGAAGGAUGAAGGUUCUAUGGAUUGUAAACUUCUUUAUACGGGAAUAAAACCUCCCACGUGUGGGAGCUUGUAUGUACCGUAUGAAUAAGCAUCGGCUAACUCCGUGCCAGCAGCCGCGGUAAUACGGAGGAUGCGAGCGUUAUCCGGAUUUAUUGGGUUUAAAGGGAGCGUAGGCGGGAUAUUAAGUCAGUCGUCAAAGCCUGUGGCUCAACCACAGCCCGCGAUUGAUACUGGUAACCUUGAGUGCGGAUGAGGUGGAUGGAAUUCGUGGUGUAGCGGUGAAAUGCUUAGAUAUCACGAAGAACUCCGAUUG